Molecule: long non-coding RNA, 2828 nt
Filed under: Cinara cedri
Lineage: Eukaryota; Metazoa; Arthropoda; Insecta; Hemiptera; Aphididae
Source: RNAcentral
UGUUACUUUUCAAAAUUUUUGUGCGAUGAAUCAAGAAUUUGAAGGUUUGUAUACAUUUAAUUAUAAAUAUACAUGGCAGGUAUUUUAAAAUGAUAAUUUAUUUUAGCCGGUACAAGUCAUGAUUACACAUAUGAAGACUUAUUUAAUUUUUUGCGUAAAUUUAAACGCACAAAAUAUUACUUCUAGAACAAUUUUACUGGAUAUUAUUAAAAUUAAGUAUGAAGGUGAUAAAUGAGAUGGAGAAUACGAGAAAAUUGUUAAAGAUAAAGUAUUAAGUUUUUCUGUAGUUUUAUAAAAAAAAAAAAAAAUGGGCUACAAGUUAAUAGAAAUGUAAAUAAAUUCAUUGAAAAUAUUCUAAUUGACUUCAAAUAAAGGUACCUCCUCUACAUCGCCCUUAUGGGCUCCUAUAAAAAGAUCAUACCAAUUACACAAUGAAUGCAACAUUUGAGUUUAGAGGUCCUAUAAACAUGUAAAUUGAUGUAAAAUAUAAUUGUUCUAAAAAUACCCUCUAAUACCCCCUCAAUUAGGGUCCAAAUUAAAACAGUGAUGCGAAAUUUGGAUUCAGCAUCCUUAAAAAUGAUUGAUUUGAAUGUCUCGCACAAUCUUAUGUAAUAUACUUUUAGAGUAAUUUAUUUAUGUACGCUAGAAAUGGAUUUCAUGCCACUGCGAGUAGGUGGUAAAUACGGAGGGCAAUCGAUAAAAAAAACCAAGGAAAAGAGAACAAAAUUGUUUUGAGCGAUUCGUCUAUAUGUAUCUGCCGUUCGCGUAAGUCGCAUCAAAGUAUGUUACUAUAAUAAAUCAAUAGCAUCAUUACACGCGCGUUAUACUUUGCAAACAAUCCAUGUCGCCAUUUACGUCAGUUAUAGAUAAGCUAUAAUGGGUAUAUCAUUUGUUAGUGUGCACAAAAAGUUCAGUCACGUCUAUAUUAAACAUUUUCUAAACCCAACUCUUGAGUUUUCCCACGUAUAAUAUGAUUGUAUUUUCCGAGUCGUCCGUUAAAAACAACCUGUAACUGUUAUUAAUAUGAUCACUUAACCACAAAUCACACUCAAUUAAAACAAAAUAAAAACAUUAGGUACAGAUACCGAGUGUAAAGAUAUAAAUUGAAUAAUUAUUAUGUACCCUACCUUCCCAACUCCCCACUUACAACAGUGGCACACCCGUUAGCUGAUAUUAACCGGUUUUUGUUCUUUGACAUUUUUUCUUUUGGUUUUUUUUUUUUUCCUAAUUUAACCUCAAGGUUAACCUAAGUUAACCUUUAUUGCUGGGUUUUGCUGUAAUAUUAUACAAAAACGUUUAUAACAGUGACGGUCGAGUAUUAUUAUACCUAAUCGCAUAAUGUUCGGUUUUUUUUAAAUGUAUUUUCCGAAAAUCCAGGGAGCAGCAAAUGCGCUCUUUCUUGUCCCCAUCUGAACGCCUAUAUUAUACGGCUACUGUCAAAAUUAUAUUUUUCGACUUAUACAGAAUAUUGCACCCAUAAUUGGCUAUGUACAAGGUCCCAAUAAACAAAAAACCAAAUUAUAUUUGAAUUGUUUCUGUGGCGAUAUAUUUCUGUACCAAUUAGAGCAAUAAUAUACAACAUGAAAUACGAAGAUCACCCGAAUUCAGUUAUUUUCUAUUCAAUAUUUUUAUCAAUAUUAGUAUGCCUCUGCAUCACAGUUAAAUGACAAGGAUAAAACAUCCAACAAACAUCCUUGUCAUUUGGUAUGUUCUGCAGACUAGGUACUGAUUAAACAUUGUAACAAACUAAGCAAAAUAAUAUUCAUAUCUUCGGUAAGUUCAACAAAUUGUAAAAAACAAAUGACCAAACCUAAAUAAAAGUUUUAACCGCCAACAUUUUUGUUUUUUUUUUUUAAGUAUGGAUAGUAAUAUUUCUAAAUCUUACACUUCUCCCAACAAAAAAAAACCUAAUCAUAUUAGUAAAAUAUAGGCAUACUAAUUAUUUAAACAAAAUAAUUUAGUAAAAAUAUUGAAUAAAGAAAAAAUUACUUCAGGUGUCACAUGAUCUUUGCGUUACACCCUGUAUCAAUAUCUACCUGUAUACCGUAACUAUUUUUAUUUUAUUUAUCCAAAUGGUAACACCAAACGUGGCCUAUAUUACAAGGUAUUAUUUAAUUGUUUUGCGCUCCUUAAACACAAAUCUAUUUUGACAAUCUUAUUCUAGUUAAUAUGUUAUAGUAUAAUAUUCUAGUUUGAAACAUAAUGCAUCAAUUAUCGGUGAUAACAUUUUCGAAAAACAUAAUAAAAUUUAUUUUUUAUCAUGACGUUAUCCGAAAAAUAAAAUUAGAUUUCUUAAACGUUCUUUGGGCUUAAGUGUUUACGUAAAGUAUUUAGAUUCUGUAAAUGCAGCCCAAUUGGAGUAAAAUGUUUGCUCUAAAAAUCCUCCAUUAUGACUGACCCAAUAUCAUACACUUUUACAUCAAGACAUAAAAUAUAGUCUUUUUAAGUAUAAAUAAAAACUGGUUAACUGAUUAGCACCUUUUUUUUUUUUUUUUUUUUUCUAAAAAAAAAACCAUCUUUUAAUACAGUAGAAAAAUUCAAUAUCGAAAAAUAACAAAACGUGUGUAUAAAAAAAUGUAGGUGUUAACAAAUUUCCUGUGCUGUUUAUUGUACACUUAAAUCUUAAAAAACAAAACAAAAUACAUAGAUUUUGAUGGUUUUAUGGACAAAAAUUAAAAUAUUUAAACUGUUGGUCAUCAGAUAGCCUUAUUUUCAGCCAUAAACUCAUUAAUGUGUACGUCAUUAACUUACAUAUAAAAUAAUACAUCUGUGAUUAGUAGUAAUUAUUCAUGACUAGAAACCGAUAAAAGUUUAACUAAAUUUCCUUU